UUGGUGGAUCUGCCCUGCACUUCUGGAUAAGCUUGGGAAACUUGGUCUAAUACCGGAUAGGAGCCAUCUUUAGUGUGGUGGUUGGAAAGUUUUUUCGGUGUAGGAUGAGCUCGCGGCCUAUCAGCUUGUUGGUGGGGUAAUGGCCUACCAAGGCGGCGACGGGUAGCCGGCCUGAGAGGGUGUACGGCCACAUUGGGACUGAGAUACGGCCCAG
This 214-nucleotide ribosomal RNA is filed under the name uncultured Actinomycetales bacterium. RNAcentral's name for it is "partial 16S ribosomal RNA". It matches the Rfam family "Bacterial small subunit ribosomal RNA", at positions 118 to 334 of the family's 1533-position model. The record is from RNAcentral. Lineage: Bacteria; Bacillati; Actinomycetota; Actinomycetes; Actinomycetales.